RNAcentral lists this ribosomal RNA (464 nucleotides) under uncultured bacterium. RNAcentral's name for it is "partial 16S ribosomal RNA". It matches the Rfam family "Bacterial small subunit ribosomal RNA", at positions 338 to 795 of the family's 1533-position model. The record is from RNAcentral.
CCUACGGGUGGCAGCAGUAGGGAAUUUUCGGCAAUGGGGGGAACCCUGACCGAGCAACGCCGCGUGAGGGAAGAAUGAAUUCGUUCUGUAAACUUCUGUUAUAAAGGAAGAAAGACGGAUGGAGGAAAUGUCAUCCGAGUGACGGUACUUUAUGAGAAAGCCACGGCUAACUACGUGCCAGCAGCCGCGGUAAUACGUAGGUGGCAAGCGUUAUCCGGAAUUAUUGGGCGAAAAGAGGGAGCAGGCGGCAGCAAAGCUCUGUGGUGAAAGACUGAAGCUAACCUUCAGUAAGCCAUAGAAACCGGGCAGCUAGAGUGCAGUAGAGGCUAGUGGAAUUCCAGGUGUAGCGGUGAAAUGCGUAGAUAUAUGGAGGAACCCCAGUGGCGAAGGCGACGAUCUGGCCUGCAACUGACGCUCAGUCCCGAAAGCGCGGGGAGCAAAUAGGAUUAGAUACCCCUGUAGUC